Molecule: ribosomal RNA, 545 nt
Filed under: Trichosporon inkin
Lineage: Eukaryota; Fungi; Basidiomycota; Tremellomycetes; Trichosporonales; Trichosporonaceae
Description: eukaryotic LSU rRNA
Rfam family: 5.8S ribosomal RNA (bases 154-307)
Source: RNAcentral
UCCGUAGGUGAACCUGCGGAAGGAUCAUUAGUGAUUGCCUUUACAGGCUUAAACUAUAUCCACUUACACCUGUGAACUGUUCUACCACUUGACGCAAGUCGAGUGCUUUUACAAACAAUGUGUAAUGAACGUCGUUUUAUUAUAACAAAAUAAAACUUUCAACAACGGAUCUCUUGGCUCUCGCAUCGAUGAAGAACGCAGCGAAUUGCGAUAAGUAAUGUGAAUUGCAGAAUUCAGUGAAUCAUCGAAUCUUUGAACGCAGCUUGCGCUCUCUGGUAUUCCGGAGAGCAUGCCUGUUUCAGUGUCAUGAAAUCUCAACCACUAGGGUUUCCUAAUGGAUUGGAUUUGGGCGUCUUGCGAUCUCUGAUCGCUCGCCUUAAAAGAGUUAGCAAGUUUGACAUUCAUGUCUGGUGUAAUAAGUUUCACUGGGUCCAUGGUGUUGAAGCGUGCUUCUAAUCGUCCGCAAGGACAAUUACUUUGACUCUGGCCUGAAAUCAGGUAGGACUACCCGCUGAACUUAAGCAUAUCAAUAAGCGGAGGAAAAG